GAUGAACGCUGGCGGCGUGCCUAAUACAUGCAAGUCGAGCGAACAGACGAGGAGCUUGCUCCUCUGACGUUAGCGGCGGACGGGUGCGUAACACGUGGAUAACCUACCUAUAAGACUGGGAUAACUUCGGGAAACCGGAGCUAAUACCGGAUAAUAUAUUGAACCGCAUGGUUCAAUAGUGAAAGACGGUUUUGCUGUCACUUAUAGAUGGAUCCGCGCCGCAUUAGCUAGUUGGUAAGGUAACGGCUUACCAAGGCAACGAUGCGUAGCCGACCUGAGAGGGUGAUCGGCCACACUGGAACUGAGACACGGUCCAGACUCCUACGGGAGGCAGCAGUAGGGAAUCUUCCGCAAUGGGCGAAAGCCUGACGGAGCAACGCCGCGUGAGUGAUGAAGGUCUUCGGAUCGUAAAACUCUGUUAUUAGGGAAGAACAAAUGUGUAAGUAACUAUGCACGUCUUGACGGUACCUAAUCAGAAGGCCACGGCUAACUACGUG
RNAcentral lists this ribosomal RNA (497 nucleotides) under uncultured bacterium. RNAcentral's name for it is "partial 16S ribosomal RNA". It matches the Rfam family "Bacterial small subunit ribosomal RNA", at positions 28 to 507 of the family's 1533-position model. The record is from RNAcentral.